UGCCAUGACCAGGAUUCGAACCUGGGUUAUUGCAGCCACAACACAAUGUCCUAACCACUAGACGAUCACAGC
This 72-nucleotide transfer RNA is filed under the name Cordylochernes scorpioides. RNAcentral's name for it is "tRNA-His". Lineage: Eukaryota; Metazoa; Arthropoda; Arachnida; Pseudoscorpiones; Chernetidae. The record is from RNAcentral.